UCCGUAGGUGGAUAAUUAAGUCAGAGGUGAAAUCCUGCAGCUCAACUGUAGAAUUGCCUUUGAUACUGGUUAUCUUGAGUCAUUAUGAAGUGGUUAGAAUGUGUAGUGUAGCGGUGAAAUGCAUAGAUAUUACACAGAAUACCGAUUGCGAAGGCAGAUCACUAAUAAUGUACUGACACUGAGGGACGAAAGCGUGGGUAGCGAACAGGAUUAGAUACCCUGGUAGUCC
RNAcentral lists this ribosomal RNA (229 nucleotides) under uncultured bacterium. RNAcentral's name for it is "partial 16S ribosomal RNA". It matches the Rfam family "Bacterial small subunit ribosomal RNA", at positions 568 to 796 of the family's 1533-position model. The record is from RNAcentral.